RNAcentral lists this transfer RNA (74 nucleotides) under bacterium. RNAcentral describes it as "tRNA-Gly". It matches the Rfam family "tRNA". From Rfam's summary of the family: Transfer RNA (tRNA) molecules are approximately 80 nucleotides in length. Their secondary structure includes four short double-helical elements and three loops (D, anti-codon, and T loops). Further hydrogen bonds mediate the characteristic L-shaped molecular structure. tRNAs have two regions of fundamental functional importance: the anti-codon, which is responsible for specific mRNA codon recognition, and the 3' end, to which the tRNAs corresponding amino acid is attached (by aminoacyl-tRNA synthetases). tRNAs cope with the degeneracy of the genetic code in two manners: having more than one tRNA (with a specific anti-codon) for a particular amino acid; and 'wobble' base-pairing, i.e. permitting non-standard base-pairing at the 3rd anti-codon position. The record is from RNAcentral.
GCGAGGGUAGCUCAAUUGGUUAGAGCACCAGUUUUCCAAACUGGGGGUUGCGGGUUCGAUCCCCGUCCUUCGCU